UUCGCAAUGCCCGAAAGGGUGACGAAGCGACGCCGCGUGUGGGAAGAAGGCCUUCGGGUUGUAAACCACUGUCGGGAGUUAAGAAAUGCAAGGAUAUGAAUAGUGUCUUUGCUUGACUAAGGCUCCGGAGGAAGCCACGGCUAACUCUGUGCCAGCAGCCGCGGUAAUACAGAGGCGGCAAGCGUUGUUCGGAAUUAUUGGGCGUAAAGAGCACGUAGGCGGCUAUGUAAGUCGGUUGUGAAAGCCUUCCGCUCAACGGGAGAACAGCAUCCGAUACUACAUGGCUUGAGUGCGGGAGGGGAGAGUGGAACUUCUGGUGGAGCGGUGAAAUGCGUAGAUAUCAGAAGGAACGCCAGCGGCGAAAGCGGCUCUCUGGCCCAUAACUGACGCUGAGUGUGCGAAAGCUAGGGGAGCAAACGGGAUUAGAUACCCCGGUAGUCCUAGCCGUAAACGAUGGGCACUAAGUAGAGGGGUUUU
This 477-nucleotide ribosomal RNA is filed under the name uncultured Planctomycetota bacterium. RNAcentral describes it as "bacterial SSU rRNA". It matches the Rfam family "Bacterial small subunit ribosomal RNA", at positions 365 to 832 of the family's 1533-position model. The record is from RNAcentral. Lineage: Bacteria; Pseudomonadati; Planctomycetota.